Pan troglodytes (chimpanzee) is the source of this 1364-nucleotide long non-coding RNA. RefSeq lists it as uncharacterized. Lineage: Eukaryota; Metazoa; Chordata; Mammalia; Primates; Hominidae. The record is from RefSeq and is a predicted model, not a curated record. The transcript is spliced from 3 exons.
CCAGCGCGUGCCCGCCCGGCGCCCUCUAGGCUGGAACGCUGCGGGCGUCCUACCAGUGCCAGGACUGCCAGAGCGGGAGGAGCGCGGCGCCGGCCAGCCGGGACUGCUGGACAGCGGGGUCCAGGCUAGAGGCGAGCGAGCGGUCAGUGACGGCUGUGGAGGAGGGAGGCGCUGGGCGUCAGCGCGGGAGCCGAGCCUCUGGACCACUGAGCUGGGGGGCUGGCUGAGGUCCACCUCCUAACAAAUUAUUGGAAGGAAUAUGAGAAAAACGGAGUUUCACUCUUGUCACCCAGGCUGGAGUGCAAUGGAGCGAUCAUGGCUCACUGCAACCUCUGCCUCCCGGGUUCAAGCGAUUCUCCUGCCUCAGCCUCUCAAGUAGCUGGGAUUACAAGUGCCCACCACCACGCCCAGCUAAUUUUUGUAUUUUUAGUAAAGAUGGGGUUUCACCACAUUGGCCAGGCUGGUCUCUAACUCCUGACCUCACGUGAUUCAUCCAUCUCAGCCUCCCAAAGUGCUGGGAUUACAGGCAUGAGCCACUGUGCCCGGCCUAUACUUAUAUUUUCUUCUGUGAUUUUAAUAUUUUAGUGUUUAUGUUUUGGUCUAUGAUCCAUUUUGAGUAAAUUUUUAUAUUUGCUAUAAGGUAGGGGUCCAACUUUAUUUAUUUUUGAGAUGGAGGCUUACUCUAUUGCCCAGGCUGGCAUGCAAUGGUGCGAUCCAGCUCACUGCAACCUCUGUGUCCCAGGCUCAAGUGAUUCUCCCACCUCAGCCAUCUGAGUAGCUCGGAUUACAGGCCCCAUCACUAUGGUAAUUUUUAAAUUUUUAGUAGAGACGGGGUUUCACCAUGUUGGCCAGGCUGGUCUCGAACUCAUGACCUCAAGUGAUCUGCCCGCCUCUGCCCUACAAAGUGCUGGGAUUACAGGCGUGAGCCACCGUGCCUGGCCUCCAGCUUUAUUCUGAACAAGACAGAGUCUUAUUCUGUCACCCAGGCUGGAGUGCUGGAGUGCAGUGGCGCGAUCUCGGCUCACUGCAAGCUCUGCCUCCUGGGUUCACGCCAUUCUCCUGCCUCAGCCUCCCGAGUAGCUGGGACUACAGGCGCCCGCCACCACGCCUGGCUAAUUUUUUGUAUUUUUAGUAGGGAUGGGGUUUCUCCAUGUUAGCCAGGAUGGUCUCGAUCUCCUGACCUUAUGGUCUGCCUGCCUCGGCCUCCCAAAAGUGCUGGGAUUACAGGCGUGAGCGACCAUGCCCGGCCAACUUUAUUCUUUUAGAUGUGGAUGUCUAGUUGUUCCAGAAGUAUCUGUUAAAAAUGUUACUCUUUCUCCAUUGGAUUAUUUUGGCAACCUUAUAAACAAUCAAUUGACCAUAAA